This 311-nucleotide unclassified non-coding RNA is filed under the name uncultured fungus. RNAcentral's name for it is "sequence contains ITS1". The stretch from base 1 to 98 matches the Rfam family "5.8S ribosomal RNA", at positions 49 to 154 of the family's 154-position model. Lineage: Eukaryota; Fungi. The record is from RNAcentral.
UGAAAUGCGAAAAGUAAUGCGAUUUGCAUAACUCUGUGAGUCAUCGAGUCUUUGAACGCACAUGGCACCUCGCUGGAGGUGAGCCUGUUUGAGGAUUGGAAAUACAGUGGUUCCCGGGAGGGGGCUGAGAUGGGGCGUCAUCUCUAACAAGAUGUGCCCUGGAAUGGAGGAUGGGUGUGGGCUGGGCACCGAGGGAUAGCAGGGGAUACCUGACGAACUCGCUGGGCAGCAAGCACGCAGGAAAGCGGGCAGAAAAGCACGCAACAAAAUCAUGCAAUCUCAAAUCAGGCUAGAGCACCCGCUGAACUUAA